AAUACCAAACAGUGAUUGCCGACAUUUGCCGGAGAAUGGGAAUUGGGAUGGCAGAGUUUUUGGAUAAGCAUGUGACCUCUGAACAGGAGUGGGACAAGUACUUUAAAAAUCAUCUCUUACAGUACUGCCACUAUGUUGCUGGGCUGGUAGGAAUUGGCCUUUCCCGUCUCUUCUCAGCCUCAGAGUUUGAAGACCCCUUAGUUGGUGAAGAUACAGAACGUGCCAACUCUAUGGGCCUGUUUCUGCAGAAAACAAACAUCAUUCGUGACUAUCUGGAAGACCAGCAAGGAGGAAGAGAGUUUUGGCCUCAAGAGGUUUGGAGCAGGUAUGUUAAGAAGUUAGGGGAUUUUGCUAAGCCGGAGAAUAUUGACUUGGCUGUGCAGUGCCUGAAUGAACUUAUAACCAAUGCACUGCACCACAUCCCAGAUGUCAUCACCUACCUUUCGAGACUCAGAAACCAGAGUGUGUUUAACUUCUGUGCUAUUCCACAGGUGAUGGCCAUUGCCACUUUGGCUGCCUGUUAUAAUAACCAGCAGGUGUUCAAAGGGGCAGUGAAAAUUCGGAAAGGGC
Molecule: small RNA, 570 nt
Filed under: Pongo abelii (Sumatran orangutan)
Lineage: Eukaryota; Metazoa; Chordata; Mammalia; Primates; Hominidae
Description: retained intron
Source: RNAcentral